This is a non-coding RNA of Gasterosteus aculeatus aculeatus (three-spined stickleback), 488 nucleotides long. NCBI's taxonomy places the organism in Eukaryota, Metazoa, Chordata, Actinopteri, Perciformes, Gasterosteidae. The record is from RefSeq and is a predicted model, not a curated record.
GGGAACCACAAGGUUGGUGGUGUAAAUGUCUGAUUUAAAUUGCAAUUCUCCUACACAAUAUUCUAUUCAUGUGUUAACAAGGUCCGUUCUGCUUUUAUUUUGAAAAGCGCCGUUUUCUUCUUCUUAUGUUUUUUUUGUGACGCUAACUUCCUGCUACUUACCAUUUGCAACGUGGAAGUCACGCAUCGUCGAAGCAAGGGUAAAACUUGUAAACUUAUUAGUUAUGUAUUGUGUUAAAUACAUUCGAAUGAUGUAAAGAAAGUUUAAAUCGUAAUUUAUUUCAUGAUUUUGUAUUGUUCGUACCUGUCAUUUCAAAAAGCUCCUAAUUAUGAGGGUGUGCCGAGAUGCUAGCUGGUGGUGGAAAUUCCUUUGAUUAGCGCCCUUGGAGAGCGGAUUGAGUGUUCACGAUGUUCAAAUUGUUCACGACGUCAUGGUGCUUCUGGUGCUCGUCGAGAGAAACAAAAUAAAUCAACACCCGUUUGAAACUC